RNAcentral lists this ribosomal RNA (497 nucleotides) under uncultured bacterium. RNAcentral's name for it is "partial 16S ribosomal RNA". It matches the Rfam family "Bacterial small subunit ribosomal RNA", at positions 28 to 507 of the family's 1533-position model. The record is from RNAcentral.
GAUGAACGCUGGCGGCGUGCCUAAUACAUGCAAGUCGAGCGAACAGAUGAGGAGCUUGCUCCUCUGACGUUAGCGGCGGACGGGUGAGUAAUACGUGGAUAACCUACCUAUAAGACUGGGAUAACUUCGGGAAACCGGAGCUAAUACCGGAUAAUAUAUUGAACCGCAUGGUUCAAUAGUGAAAGACGGUUUUGCUGUCACUUAUAGAUGGAUCCGCGCCGCAUUAGCUAGUUGGUAAGGUAACGGCUUACCAAGGCGACGAUGCGUAGCCGACCUGAGAGGGUGAUCGGCCACACUGGAACUGAGACACGGUCCAGACUCCUACGGGAGGCAGCAGUAGGGAAUCUUCCGCAAUGGGCGAAAGCCUGACGGAGCAACGCCGCGUGAGUGAUGAAGGUCUUCGGAUCGUAAAACUCUGUUAUUAGGGAAGAACAAAUGUGUAAGUAACUAUGCACGUCUUGACGGUACCUAAUCAGAAAGCCACGGCUAACUACGUG